Molecule: non-coding RNA, 74 nt
Organism: Phrynosoma platyrhinos (Desert horned lizard)
Lineage: Eukaryota; Metazoa; Chordata; Lepidosauria; Squamata; Phrynosomatidae
Source: the annotation of a GenBank genome assembly
GUCAGCAUGGUAUAGUGGUUUGACUGCUGGAUUAUUACUCUGGAGACCUGAGUUUGAAUCUCAGCUUGGUGAUG